Molecule: ribosomal RNA, 497 nt
Filed under: uncultured bacterium
Lineage: Bacteria
Description: partial 16S ribosomal RNA
Rfam family: Bacterial small subunit ribosomal RNA
Source: RNAcentral
GACGAACGCUGGCGGCGUGCCUAAUACAUGCAAGUUGAGCGCUGAAGGUUGGUACUUGUACCGACUGGAUGAGCAGCGAACGGGUGAGUAACGCGUGGGGAAUCUGCCUUUGAGCGGGGGACAACAUUUGGAAACGAAUGCUAAUACCGCAUAAAAACUUUAAACACAAGUUUUAAGUUUGAAAGAUGCAAUUGCAUCACUCAAAGAUGAUCCCGCGUUGUAUUAGCUAGUUGGUGAGGUAAAGGCUCACCAAGGCGAUGAUACAUAGCCGACCUGAGAGGGUGAUCGGCCACAUUGGGACUGAGACACGGCCCAAACUCCUACGGGAGGCAGCAGUAGGGAAUCUUCGGCAAUGGACGAAAGUCUGACCGAGCAACGCCGCGUGAGUGAAGAAGGUUUUCGGAUCGUAAAACUCUGUUGGUAGAGAAGAACGUUGGUGAGAGUGGAAAGCUCAUCAAGUGACGGUAACUACACAGAAAGAGACGGCUAACUACGUG